UUUGUUUUAAUUGGUUUAAAAAUACUUUUCUGCAUUUUAAAAUUCUGAAAAUUUAAUUAUAUUUCUCUUAUUUUAUUUUUAACCUUCCCUAAUUUUCUUGGCCAUUUAUUUGGUGUUUUGAAGGGCUUUGUGGAUUUUCUCUUUUAUUUCCUUUUAAAAUUCAUUUUAAAAAUAUUUUUGAUGCAUUUUUUUAUAUCUUUUUG
Molecule: long non-coding RNA, 203 nt
Filed under: Lathyrus oleraceus (garden pea)
Lineage: Eukaryota; Viridiplantae; Streptophyta; Magnoliopsida; Fabales; Fabaceae
Description: Pisum sativum (pea) long non-coding RNA (PSAT_LNC009925)
Source: RNAcentral